GCCUGAUGCAGCGACGCCGCGUGAGGGAUGACGGCCUUCGGGUUGUAAACCUCUUUCAGCAGGGACGAAGCGCAAGUGACGGUACCUGUAGAAGAAGGACCGGCCAACUACGUGCCAGCAGCCGCGGUAAUACGUAGGGUCCGAGCGUUGUCCGGAAUUACUGGGCGUAAAGAGCUCGUAGGUGGUUUGUCGCGUUGUUCGUGAAAACUCACAGCUCAACUGUGGGCGUGCGGGCGAUACGGGCAGACUUGAGUACUGCAGGGGAGACUGGAAUUCCUGGUGUAGCGGUGGAAUGCGCAGAUAUCAGGAGGAACACCGGUGGCGAAGGCGGGUCUCUGGGCAGUAACUGACGCUGAGGAGCGAAAGCGUGGGGAGCGAACAGGAUUAGAUACCCUGGUAGUCCACGCCGUAAACGGUGGGUACUAGGUGUGGGUUUCCUUCCUUGGGAUCCGUGCCGUAGCUAACGCAUUAAGUACCCCGCCUGGGGAGUACGGCCGCAAGGCUAAAACUCAAAGAAAUUGACGGGGGCCCGCACAAGCGGCGGAGCAUGUGGAUUAAUUCGAUGCAACGCGAAGAACCUUACCUGGGUUUGACAUGCACAGGACGCUGGUAGAGAUAUCAGUUCCCUUGUGGCCUGUG
Molecule: ribosomal RNA, 639 nt
Filed under: Mycobacterium sp. Se3Ps_2498
Lineage: Bacteria; Bacillati; Actinomycetota; Actinomycetes; Mycobacteriales; Mycobacteriaceae
Description: bacterial SSU rRNA
Rfam family: Bacterial small subunit ribosomal RNA
Source: RNAcentral